RNAcentral lists this transfer RNA (86 nucleotides) under Chloroflexota bacterium. RNAcentral's name for it is "Chloroflexi bacterium tRNA-Leu". It matches the Rfam family "tRNA". Rfam says of the family: Transfer RNA (tRNA) molecules are approximately 80 nucleotides in length. Their secondary structure includes four short double-helical elements and three loops (D, anti-codon, and T loops). Further hydrogen bonds mediate the characteristic L-shaped molecular structure. tRNAs have two regions of fundamental functional importance: the anti-codon, which is responsible for specific mRNA codon recognition, and the 3' end, to which the tRNAs corresponding amino acid is attached (by aminoacyl-tRNA synthetases). tRNAs cope with the degeneracy of the genetic code in two manners: having more than one tRNA (with a specific anti-codon) for a particular amino acid; and 'wobble' base-pairing, i.e. permitting non-standard base-pairing at the 3rd anti-codon position. The record is from RNAcentral. Lineage: Bacteria; Bacillati; Chloroflexota.
GCCGGGAUGGCGGAAUUGGUAGACGCGGCGGACUUAAAAUCCGCUGGCCUCGCGCCGUGUGGGUUCGAAUCCCGCUCCCGGCACCA